GUUUCGAUUGCAGCUCCAAAACAACCGCUUGGCAAACUUGUCUUGAAAAUUUCGAUAUUGUAACGUUAAAAAAAGUAGAAAUGACGAAAGAUAAUCUUUACACAGUUUAUAGUGAAAAAAGCGUCCUUUGAAGUGACUGUCUUUAGCCGGUAGAUGUACGCCAAUGAAGCAGGCCACAAGUAGUCCGCACAAUCACCAAGUGAAACAAUCCCAAGAUGUGCUUCAAGACCUUGCUGAAAUACGUACGGAAGUGACACAAGAGGAAACGUAAUGACAUCAUCAGUGUCGGAAGAAUUUCUCCCAACGAGGACGGGGGUACAACACAACCUCUUUCACUUAUAGGACGAACAGAAUAGCACAGAUUACGGACACGCUAUACAUGGAAUUCAUCGUGCAGAACGAAAGCUCUGCAGCAAGAGAAUAUGCCUCAAGCGGGAGUAUAGAGUCUGCAUCCGUACAUGGUAAUGCUAAAAUUAAAGCCUGAAGGUUGAGCAAUGCUCGAGUGACGUGGAAACGUGGGAGACAGUUGUAAUCAAUCAUGGUUGCAAUCUCGUUCAAGGAAACUGACGCAAUCAGGGGAAAUCCCAUAAUGCCGAAAGGCGGUAUACUUACGAAACCUUUACCUGGAAAGACCCAAACAUUCCGGAUUUUCCGGUGAUUGUGGAGAAGGAGGUAAUCAAAGGAUACUCGGUAAUACCUAAGGUAAUAAAAAAAAAGGAAAGAAAAUCGUUCUCCCACAAUACCGCUGACAGGCUCCUCUGCAAUCCCAUUCUGCAAUGGAUAUAAAGCUUUGAAUAAUAGCAUUGAUUCGAUGUCAGUCUCCUGUGUCUCAGCACAACGAACCCAACUACAACUAGUCAAAAAAGCUAACUCCAUUAUGCAUUCACUGAAAACACUGAUAAUAGCUCUAUUGGUGUUUGUUUGCGCCAUUGUUGCCCGACCUAUGAUUCAAUUAGAUUCUGAAUCUAAUGACGACGUAUAUCACAGUUUGAAUGUUCAACAAUUACCUGUCGGCUAUCAUAGUUCAACAUCCAACAGUCCUAUCCUGCAAUCAGAAAACAAUUCAAUAUUGCCAUUACCUCUGCGGAAGGAUCGCUUUAAAAGAAAUACGGUGGUACAAAAUCAUAACGGAAUACGUUAUAACGGCAUAACUAUUAAACUUCCAGAAGGCGAUGGCCUCGCUAAUUCACUGGUGUCAUCCAGCACGGAAAAACCACGAACGAAGCCAGGCAACCGACUGACUCGUAUUCAUAUCCGGAUAGGGUGAUGUUUGGUAUAGAGAUUAUUUGUGUAUUUACAAUCGUAGGUGUAAAUAAAAUUUCGCGGUAUGUUUUUU
This is an RNA transcript of Daphnia carinata, 1336 nucleotides long. RefSeq lists it as uncharacterized. The transcript has 6 exons. The record is from RefSeq and is a predicted model, not a curated record. NCBI's taxonomy places the organism in Eukaryota, Metazoa, Arthropoda, Branchiopoda, Diplostraca, Daphniidae.